RNAcentral lists this ribosomal RNA (590 nucleotides) under Actinomycetota bacterium. RNAcentral's name for it is "bacterial SSU rRNA". The record is from RNAcentral. Lineage: Bacteria; Bacillati; Actinomycetota.
CCAAGGUCCGGAACGAUGAUCCGGUUUUCGGCCGGGGAUUAGUGGCGAACGGGUGAGUAACACGUGGGCAAUCUGCCCUUCACUCUGGGACAAGCCCUGGAAACGGGGUCUAAUACCGGAUAUCACUUCUGCUCGCAUGGGUGGGGGUUGAAAGCUCCGGCGGUGAAGGAUGAGCCCGCGGCCUAUCAGCUUGUUGGUGAGGUAGUGGCUCACCAAGGCGACGACGGGUAGCCGGCCUGAGAGGGCGACCGGCCACACUGGGACUGAGACACGGCCCAGACUCCUACGGGAGGCAGCAGUGGGGAAUAUUGCACAAUGGGCGGAAGCCUGAUGCAGCGACGCCGCGUGAGGGAUGACGGCCUUCGGGUUGUAAACCUCUUUCAGCAGGGAAGAAGCGUGAGUGACGGUACCUGCAGAAGAAGCGCCGGCUAACUACGUGCCAGCAGCCGCGGUAAUACGUAGGGCGCAAGCGUUGUCCGGAAUUAUUGGGCGUAAAGAGCUCAUAGGCGGCUUGUCGCGUCGGGUGUGAAAGACCGAGGCUUAACUCCGGUUCUGCAUUCKAUACGGGCUAGCUAGAGUUCGGUAGGGGA